RNAcentral lists this unclassified non-coding RNA (387 nucleotides) under soil metagenome. RNAcentral's name for it is "partial contains 5.8S ribosomal RNA, internal transcribed spacer 2, and large subunit ribosomal RNA". The stretch from base 1 to 120 matches the Rfam family "5.8S ribosomal RNA", at positions 35 to 154 of the family's 154-position model. The record is from RNAcentral.
GAUGAAGAACGUAGCGAAAUGCGAUAAGUAAUGUGAAUUGCAGAAUUCAGUGAAUCAUCGAAUCUUUGAACGCACCUUGCGCUCCUUGGUAUUCCGAGGAGCAUGCCUGUUUGAGUGUCAUGAAAUUCUCAACCUUUUCAGCUUUCUUUGUUGAUCAGGCUUGGAUGUGGGAGUAUGCGGGCUUCUCAGAAGUCGGCUCUCCUGAAAUGCAUUAGCGGGACCUUUGUUGCCUGGCUUUGGUGUGAUAAUUAUCUACGCCAUUGUAGUCAAGCAGCUUAAAAUGAGGUUUCAGCUUCUAACCGCCUCCCCUGAGACAACUUUUUGACAAUUUGACCUCAAAUCAGGUAGGACUACCCGCUGAACUUAAGCAUAUCAAUAAGCGGAGGA